CAGUUAACGUCACACUUGAUGAGUAUUAACCAACAAGCUUUCCUCACUGAUGAAAGUGCUUUACAACCCGAAAGCCUUCUUCACACACGCGGCAUGGCUGGAUCAGGCUUUCGCCCAUUGUCCAAUAUUCCCC
This 133-nucleotide ribosomal RNA is filed under the name uncultured bacterium. RNAcentral describes it as "partial 16S ribosomal RNA". The record is from RNAcentral.